This 500-nucleotide ribosomal RNA is filed under the name uncultured bacterium. RNAcentral's name for it is "partial 16S ribosomal RNA". It matches the Rfam family "Bacterial small subunit ribosomal RNA", at positions 30 to 523 of the family's 1533-position model. The record is from RNAcentral.
AUUGAACGCUGGCGGCAGGCCUAACACAUGCAAGUCGAGCGGAUGACGGGAGCUUGCUCCUUGAUUCAGCGGCGGACGGGUGAGUAAUGCCUAGGAAUCUGCCUGGUAGUGGGGGACAACGUUUCGAAAGGAACGCUAAUACCGCAUACGUCCUACGGGAGAAAGCAGGGGACCUUCGGGCCUGGCGCUAUCAGAUGAGCCUAGGUCGGAUUAGCUAGUUGGUGGGGUAAUGGCUCACCAAGGCGACGACCCGUAACUGGUCUGAGAGGAUGAUCAGUCACACUGGAACUGAGACACGGUCCAGACUCCUACGGGAGGCAGCAGUGGGGAAUAUUGGACAAUGGGCGAAAGCCUGAUCCAGCCAUGCCGCGUGUGUGAAGAAGGUCUUCGGAUUGUAUAGCACUUUAAGUUGGGAGGAAGGGCAGUAAGUUAAUACCUUGCUGUUUUGACGUUACCGACAGAAUAAGCACCGGCUAACUCUGUGCCAGCAGCCGCAGUAA